GGGGUUGUAGCUCAGAUGGAAGAGCAUUCGCCUUGCAAGCGAAAGGUCACGGGUUCGAGUCCCGUCUGCUCCACCA
This 76-nucleotide transfer RNA is filed under the name Pseudomonas fluorescens. Its description in RNAcentral is "tRNA-Ala". It matches the Rfam family "tRNA". From Rfam's summary of the family: Transfer RNA (tRNA) molecules are approximately 80 nucleotides in length. Their secondary structure includes four short double-helical elements and three loops (D, anti-codon, and T loops). Further hydrogen bonds mediate the characteristic L-shaped molecular structure. tRNAs have two regions of fundamental functional importance: the anti-codon, which is responsible for specific mRNA codon recognition, and the 3' end, to which the tRNAs corresponding amino acid is attached (by aminoacyl-tRNA synthetases). tRNAs cope with the degeneracy of the genetic code in two manners: having more than one tRNA (with a specific anti-codon) for a particular amino acid; and 'wobble' base-pairing, i.e. permitting non-standard base-pairing at the 3rd anti-codon position. RNAcentral also lists the same sequence under 3 other names. The record is from RNAcentral. Lineage: Bacteria; Pseudomonadati; Pseudomonadota; Gammaproteobacteria; Pseudomonadales; Pseudomonadaceae.